This 400-nucleotide ribosomal RNA is filed under the name uncultured bacterium. Its description in RNAcentral is "bacterial SSU rRNA". It matches the Rfam family "Bacterial small subunit ribosomal RNA", at positions 356 to 773 of the family's 1533-position model. The record is from RNAcentral.
GGGGAAUAUUGCACAAUGGGGGAAACCCUGAUGCAGCAACGCCGCGUGAGCGAUGAAGGCCUUUGGGUUGUAAAGCUCUGUCUUCUCUGACGAUAAUGACGGUAAGAGAGGAGGAAGCCACGGCUAACUACGUGCCAGCAGCCGCGGUAAUACGUAGGUGGCAAGCGUUGUCCGGAAUUAUUGGGCGUAAAGGAUGCGUAGGCGGCCUUUUAAGUGGGAUGUGAAAUACCCGGGCUUAACCCGGGAAUGGCAUUCCAAACUGGAAGGCUAGAGUGCAGGAGAGGAAAGUGGAAUUCCCAGUGUAGCGGUGAAAUGCGUAGAGAUUGGGAGGAACACCAGUGGCGAAGGCGACUUUCUGGACUGUAACUGACGCUGAGAUACGAAAGCGUGAGGAGCAAAC